GAUUCAAUUUACACAUAACUUGAGAGAGAAAAGAGAAAUAUUGACUAAGCUCUGUACUAGAACUAUUCAGGUCAGUGUCUAACUGAAAAACUGACAAUUAGAGGUUAGAGGGAUUUUACUGUGCAAAUUUUGAAAGUUGAAGGGGUUUUAUGUUACAUUUUUAAGUUGAAGGACUAUAAUGUUAUACUAGAUAAGUUCAGGGACAGUUGUUAAAAUUUAUUCUCAUUUUAA
RNAcentral lists this unclassified non-coding RNA (231 nucleotides) under Hevea brasiliensis (rubber tree). Lineage: Eukaryota; Viridiplantae; Streptophyta; Magnoliopsida; Malpighiales; Euphorbiaceae. The record is from RNAcentral.